UACGGAGGGGGCUAGCGUUGUUCGGAAUUACUGGGCGUAAAGCGCACGUAGGCGGCUUUGUAAGUUAGAGGUGAAAGCCCGGAGCUCAACUCCGGAAUUGCCUUUAAGACUGCAUCGCUAGAAUUGUGGAGAGGUGAGUGGAAUUCCGAGUGUAGAGGUGAAAUUCGUAGAUAUUGGGAGGAACACCGGUGGCGAAGGCGGCCACCUGGACGGUAACUGACGCUAAGACGCGAAAGCGUGGGGAGCAAACAGG
RNAcentral lists this ribosomal RNA (253 nucleotides) under uncultured bacterium. RNAcentral's name for it is "partial 16S ribosomal RNA". It matches the Rfam family "Bacterial small subunit ribosomal RNA", at positions 524 to 776 of the family's 1533-position model. The record is from RNAcentral.